Non-coding RNA from Danio rerio (zebrafish), 779 nucleotides. Lineage: Eukaryota; Metazoa; Chordata; Actinopteri; Cypriniformes; Danionidae. The record is from RefSeq and is a predicted model, not a curated record.
AAAAAAAUGAUUCUGACCCCUUGUAAAUGUUACAUGUUUUUAUCUGGUUAAUUUCACUGAUUUUAAUGUGUUAUUUAAUCCUACUUAUUUUUUAUUAUUAGUUUUCAAAUUUACUGCUUUUGUUUAAAACAAGUUAAUUUCAUUCAAUUAAAAGUAAUUAGAAAAAAAUACGUUUCAUUUAAUUUCCAUAUACUAUCCGGUCUGCGCAUGUGCAGACACUUUUUUUCCUGAAGGGGCCAAGGCGGGGAGAUUGAACGUGAUGCACUCAUUUGAAUGCUGCAUCCAGCUCUGCAUUUUCGACCCGCCCCUACUCUGACGCUGACUGGCUCCGACCGAUCGUGACGUCGCUCCACUUGCGCAAACCUAACCAAAGAGCUUUUUUGACCUAACCAACGAUUGCAACGAACACUAGCCAAUCAGAGGCAGAUCUUCGCGGAAUGCGGGUAGGAAAAGUAAACAAGCUUCUCUUUCGUGGCAGCGGCAUGGGUCGCAGUCCUCGUGGACUGUCUCCGACUCGCCUUAUCAGGGUUUAAAACGUAAAGAUAAAUGUUGAAUUCCAGCGCAUAACAACCAUCCCACUUGAAACAACCUUUAUGGCUCAGUUGGACAGCCAUUUACCCUAGCUGACAUCAGGAAGGUGUUUCUGGCCAAAAACUAGCCAAACAUCUGGCGAUCUUGCAAGAGGCUACAAGUGACAUCAAUCUUAAAAGGGCAGCAGUCCUCAAGGCACUUUGCAUCUAUCUUGGUGAGGAUGAUGAACAUCUCAUUCAGGAGUAUAA